This 374-nucleotide ribosomal RNA is filed under the name uncultured organism. RNAcentral describes it as "partial 16S ribosomal RNA". It matches the Rfam family "Bacterial small subunit ribosomal RNA", at positions 527 to 896 of the family's 1533-position model. The record is from RNAcentral.
GGAGGGUGCAAGCGUUGUUCGGAAUUAUUGGGCGUAAAGAGCGUGUAGGCGGUCCGGUAAGUCAGAUGUGAAAGCCCUGGGCUCAACCCAGGAAGUGCAUUUGAAACUACCAGACUUGAGUACGGGAGAGGAGGGGGGAAUUCCCGGUGUAGAGGUGAAAUUCGUAGUUAUCGGGAGGAAUACCAGUGGCGAAGGCGCCCCUCUGGACCGAUACUGACGCUGAGACGCGAAAGCGUGGGGAGCAAACAGGAUUAGAUACCCUGGGUAGUCCACGCCGUAAACGAUGAGCACUAGGUGUAGCGGGUAUUGACCCCCCUGCUGUGCCGUAGCUAACGCAUUAAGUGCUCCGCCUGGGGACUACGGUCGCAAGACUA